Long non-coding RNA from Athene cunicularia (burrowing owl), 394 nucleotides. RefSeq lists it as uncharacterized. Lineage: Eukaryota; Metazoa; Chordata; Aves; Strigiformes; Strigidae. The transcript has 3 exons. The record is from RefSeq and is a predicted model, not a curated record.
AGUCCAGGGGCAGCAAAUCCAUAGUGGGUAAUUGAAGUCCCUGAGUAAUGUUUUAAUUCAAAUUUUAAUCUUUAUGCACAGAGACAGCAGGUCAUUCUUAACUAGCAAGAGAAGCAGGAAGAUUAAGCAUGUACACAGUGCAUUACCUUGAGAGGAGAGUGAAGGAGUGAACCGUUUCUACUGACUAUUUACAAGUAUUUAAUCUAUGCCAGCUCUGCCACAAAAACCGCCUGGAAGGGCCAGACUCUUCACCCAAGUUGCUACUUAUACCCAGGGGUCAGAGUUGUGACUGGCACCACUCACAUCUACAAUGGGGACCUCACCUGUCCUGUACAACUUCCAGUGUCAAGUGUGGGAUGAGAUGCUUCAGAUGAAUGAAAGAACUAGACAAAGA